GUGUCAGCCGCCGCGGUAAUACGUAGGGUCCGAGCGUUAAUCGGAAUUACUGGGCGUAAAGCGUGCGCAGGCGGUUUUGUAAGCCAGAUGUGAAAUCCCCGGGCUUAACCUGGGAACUGCAUUUGGGACUGCAAGGCUGGAGUACGGCAGAGGGAGGUGGAAUUCCAGGUGUAGCAGUGAAAUGCGUAGAGAUCUGGAGGAACACCGAUGGCGAAGGCAGCCUCCUGGGCUAGUACUGACGCUCAUGCACGAAAGCGUGGGGAGCAAACAGGAUUAGAAACCCUAGUAGUCC
RNAcentral lists this ribosomal RNA (292 nucleotides) under uncultured bacterium. Its description in RNAcentral is "partial 16S ribosomal RNA". It matches the Rfam family "Bacterial small subunit ribosomal RNA", at positions 505 to 796 of the family's 1533-position model. The record is from RNAcentral.